AGAGUUUGAUCAUGGCUCAGAUUGAACGCUGGCGGCAGGCCUAACACAUGCAAGUCGAGCGGUAACACAGGGAGCUUGCUCCUGGGUGACGAGCGGCGGACGGGUGAGUAAUGUCUGGGAAACUGCCUGAUGGAGGGGGAUAACUACUGGAAACGGUAGCUAAUACCGCAUAACGUCGCAAGACCAAAGAGGGGGACCUUCGGGCCUCUUGCCAUCAGAUGUGCCCAGAUGGGAUUAGCUAGUAGGUGGGGUAACGGCUCACCUAGGCGACGAUCCCUAGCUGGUCUGAGAGGAUGACCAGCCACACUGGAACUGAGACACGGUCCAGACUCCUACGGGAGGCAGCAGUGGGGAAUAUUGCACAAUGGGCGCAAGCCUGAUGCAGCCAUGCCGCGUGUAUGAAGAAGGCCUUCGGGUUGUAAAGUACUUUCAGCGGGGAGGAAGGCGAUAAGGUUAAUAACCUUGUCGAUUGACGUUACCCGCAGAAGAAGCACCGGCUAACUCCGUGCCAGCAGCCGCGGUAAUAC
RNAcentral lists this ribosomal RNA (527 nucleotides) under uncultured bacterium. RNAcentral describes it as "bacterial SSU rRNA". It matches the Rfam family "Bacterial small subunit ribosomal RNA", at positions 8 to 526 of the family's 1533-position model. The record is from RNAcentral.